GACUGAUUAGCUCAGUCAGCUGAGCAUAGUGCUAACAACGCUAAGGUCACGGGUUCGAUUCCCGUUUGGUCC
RNAcentral lists this transfer RNA (72 nucleotides) under Apaloderma vittatum (bar-tailed trogon). It matches the Rfam family "tRNA". From Rfam's summary of the family: Transfer RNA (tRNA) molecules are approximately 80 nucleotides in length. Lineage: Eukaryota; Metazoa; Chordata; Aves; Trogoniformes; Trogonidae. The record is from Rfam by way of RNAcentral.